This 440-nucleotide ribosomal RNA is filed under the name uncultured bacterium. RNAcentral describes it as "partial 16S ribosomal RNA". It matches the Rfam family "Bacterial small subunit ribosomal RNA", at positions 338 to 795 of the family's 1533-position model. The record is from RNAcentral.
CCUACGGGUGGCAGCAGUGGGGGAUAUUGCACAAUGGGGGAAACCCUGAUGCAGCGACGCCGCGUGGGUGAAGAAGCGCCUCGGCGCGUAAAGCCCUGUCAGCAGGGAAGAAAAUGACGGUACCUGAAGGAGAAGCCCCGGCUAACCACGUGCCCGCAGCCGCGGUAAAACGUAGGGGGCCAGCGUUAUCCGGAUGUACUGGGGGUAAAGGGGGCGCAGGCGGGGAUGCAAGCCAGGAGUGAAAGCCCGGGGCCCAACCCCGGGACUGCACUUGGAACUGCGGGGCUAGAGUGCAGGAGGGGCAGGCGGAAUUCCUGGUGUAGCGGUGAAAUGCGUAGAUAUCAGGAGGAACACCGGUGGCGAAGGCGGCCUGCUGGACUGCAACUGACGUUGAGGCCCGAAAGCGUGGGGAGCAAACAGGAUUAGAUACCCCAGUAGUC